RNAcentral lists this ribosomal RNA (459 nucleotides) under uncultured bacterium. RNAcentral describes it as "partial 16S ribosomal RNA". It matches the Rfam family "Bacterial small subunit ribosomal RNA", at positions 338 to 795 of the family's 1533-position model. The record is from RNAcentral.
CCUACGGGAGGCAGCAGUGAGGAAUAUUGGUCAAUGGGCGCAAGCCUGAACCAGCCACGUCGCGUGAGGGAAGAAGGUCCUAUGGAUUGUAAACCUCUUUUGUCGGGGAGCAAAAGACGCCACGCGUGGCGUUCCGAGAGUACCCGAAUAAAACGCAUCGGCUAACUCCGUGCCAGCAGCCGCCGUAAUACGGAGGAUGCGAGCGUUAUCCGGAUUUAUUGGGUUUAAAGGAUGCGCAGGCGGAAGAUAAAGUCAGCGGUAAAAUUGGGAGGCUCACCCUCCUCGCGCCGUUGACACUGGUUGUCUUGAGUGAGUGAGAGGUAAGCGGAAUUCCUAGUGUAGCGGUGAAAUGCGUAGAUAUUAGGAGGAACACCAGUGGCGAAGGCGGCUUACUGGACUGUAACUGACGUUGAGGCUCGAAAGCGUGGGGAGCAAACAGGAUUAGAUACCCCUGUAGUC